AACGAACGCUGGCGGCAGGCUUAACACAUGCAAGUCGAGCGCGGUCUUUCGGGACUGAGCGGCGGACGGGUGAGUAACGCGUGGGAACGUGCCCCUUUCUUCGGAAUAGCCUCGGGAAAC
This 120-nucleotide ribosomal RNA is filed under the name uncultured bacterium. RNAcentral's name for it is "partial 16S ribosomal RNA". It matches the Rfam family "Bacterial small subunit ribosomal RNA", at positions 29 to 157 of the family's 1533-position model. The record is from RNAcentral.